Long non-coding RNA from Beta vulgaris subsp. vulgaris (sugar beet), 3001 nucleotides. RefSeq lists it as uncharacterized. The transcript is spliced from 3 exons. NCBI's taxonomy places the organism in Eukaryota, Viridiplantae, Streptophyta, Magnoliopsida, Caryophyllales, Amaranthaceae. The record is from RefSeq and is a predicted model, not a curated record.
CUUUGUUCUUUUAUCAUAUGUUUAUUUAUUAUGAAACAUUUUUUCAAUAAAAUAAGAUAAUUUUUAAUUUGUUUUUUUACGGCCAUAUACUUUUAUAAAUUAAACAUGUUCUUUUUACUGAGAAAGUAUGUUCUUUACAUUUAAAUUAUAUGUUCUUUUAUAAAUUAGACAUGUUGUUUCUUAAAACAUAGAUCAAUUAUAACAAAUAGAUUAUAGUCGAACAUAGUAAAAAUACUUCAAAUCUCGAGAUAAUCCGGAAAGAAAGAAAAUUUGAUUUUUACCUAGACAAUAUAUUAUUUUGAUGUAAUUAGCUAUGUUCUUUAACUUUGUUUUACAUUAUGACCUAUGUUCAUUUUGUAAAAUGAGAUGAUUUUGAACUAUGUGUUCUUUUACCUAAAAAAUAUGUUCUUUUUAAUGUUAUUAGAUAUGUUAUUUGUUUUUUUUUUUCCAUUAUGACGUUUUUUUUUUUUAUAUGAAAUGAGAUAAUUUUAAACUAUAUGUUCUAUUUUAAUGUGAUUGAAUAUGUUCUUUUACAUUUUUAUCGAUUAUGUCCUAUGUUCUUUUUUAUUAAAUGAUAUACUUUUGAACUAUGUAUUCUUUUUACCUGACUAAUAUGCUAAUUAAAUUUAAUUAAUGUUCUUUUAUGACCUAUGUCACACAUCGAGUAAAGUUAAAAAAAAAAAUACUUGAUUUAAUUAUUUUCAUCAUUAACGUAUUUAUUUUUUUACUUACAAGUAAACUCGGUUGAUGGAGGGCAAAAUAUUGGGGUCUUUGCUUUAAAUCUUGAGAUAUUUUAGAGAUAGAAAACAAAUUUACCAUAAGAAACAAUUAAAAUAGGCAAAAUAAUUAUUAAAGGAAACUAAUCUUCUAUUUUGGUGGUGGAGGAAAAGUUAGCUUCUAAAUUUCAGUGUACUAUUGGUUCUUUACUAUAUGGGCCUGUUCUCCCCAGCUUAUUUUCAGUUAAGUUCAGUUCAGUUCAGUUCAAUUUCAGUUCAGCUCAAUUCAGUUCAGAUCAGUUCAGUUCAGUUCAGAUCAGUUCAGUUCAGCUCAGUUCAGUUCAGCUCAGCUUUUGACAAUACUUUUACUCUCACAUAUUACUAUUCAUUUCAGUUCAAUUCAGUUCAGUCCAACUGUUUAUGCCGAAGAGAAUAGACCCUAUGUUACUACUAAUCUUCUCUUUUGCGUUUUAUUCUUCACAUCAUGUCGUUCAGGCCAGGUGCACAUAGCUCGCGCACUAUCCACCUGGGUCACUGGGUGUCUGGGUGCACUGUUCAUGCAUUGCUUAUUUUGUUCGUUUGAAAAAUCAAUCAAACCCUGUUUAUAAAAUUCAGUUCCCGCUUUCAAUGUCUCCUGCUUGUUUUCUUUAACUCGCUAAUCGCAAUGCACACUAAGUGUUUGAUGAAUCUCCCCACUGAGAAAAUUUCCGGGAUUCUCUACUGUACUUUCUGUUUCGUCAUCUACUAGUGUAUAUGAGACAAAAAUUGGCAAAUUUGACCCUGUUUGUUUGUGUAGGUUUAGGUAGUAUAACUGGUGCAAGAUUACUCUCAUAAAAUUUUAGGAAUGUGGAAGAUCAUAAUUUUAACUUGGUUAACUUUUCGGUUUCCCAUUUGCCUAGAUUUCAUGAAUGCUUAAUCUUUUUCUGAGUCUGUGCAAAAUGGUGCAUUUUCUGGGAUGAGUGGAAAAGAUCUUCUACGAGAUUUUAGUGGGUGGUUACUGUUUUCUUUUGGGAGCAAGAUAAAUUGGAUGGCAUUCCAAGGCACUACAGAUAAAUUGGAGAUUAAGUUAUAUUUUGAAUAAGCAACAAAGAACUAUGAGCUUCCCCAUAACAUAUGGGUACCUUACAAACUUCAUGAUAAACUUAUUUCUUUUGGCGUAAUAUUAUGAUUUACUGGGGUAAUCUCAAAAGUUGAACAGGGAUAAAGAAUAGAAUUUUCUAAGGUGUAGAAUUAUAUUAUGUGUAAUAUUUAUAUUUCUAAGAUGGGUUUGUCUUGAUCACAUAUGGGGGAUGUUAUGAGGUCCAGCCGUCCAGGUAGUGGGUUUUGCAAUCUUGCUUAAGUUAAAGUGUGACAGUACCUUGUUAAAUUAUUGACAAUCUGAUAUGCACCUUAUAUUUAUUGUUAAUCAGGAUAUGCAGCAUAUGAUCUGAAUAUGGCUAUUGUCACGGCUGUUGGCUAUCUCUUAGGGACUUCAUUGUGAAAGCUAACCUUGAUAUUGAUUCUGCUGCUGGAGGAUAAGAUAAGACAUAAGAUCAAGCCAUCAAGGUAAAAAUGAAUCAGCUUCAGCAUUGUCAAUGAUUCAUGUUUUGAAGCAAGCACAUGAUUACAUGAUUACAAGGAGUUCUUCCUGUAUACUUCUAAAGCUGGAAGUACAAAUUUGGCCCAACUUGGCUUGGCGUUAGCAUACCCGGGCGAUGUGCCACGCUUGAGCUCGAUUUUUAGAGAAGUUGACACGAGGAUGGCGCUACUCGACUCGUCUGUUAGUUGGCUUGUUAUUACUAUGGUAUGCUGUGACUAUGUCGUAGGCCAUCCGUCAGCAGCCAGUGCAACAAGUAUCUAGAUGCUAAAGAGGAGGGUUUUUCAAAUGAAGAUUUCUAUUUGUUUAAUUGUUUGGAGAAACAGUGAAAACCCUAUUUUAACGUGCGUCUUUGACAACAUUUUGUCAAAUAUCUACUUUCUCUUAAGGCUUAUAAGUAUGAAAAGCAUACCCAAAGAACCCCCUGAUUUGUCAUUAGUGAACGGUGGUUAAAAAAGACUGAUGAAUGUGUGUUAUUUGUUGGGGGUUGUUUGACUAUGAAAGCUGUAUAUUUUACCUAAUGUGGUAUCUUGUUUGAAUUGAGGAAAAAGGGGUCAAAGAAAUAUAGUGAGUAGCGACUUAAUUUGCUUAGAGUUUUCAACAUAAAGCUAGAUCUCAAUUUGUUAAAACAUUUCAUAAAGCUGUAAAGCUUCUAAGAGACUGUACACUUAAGGUUCUAAAAUCAUGUGAAUGCAACCAAGUUUUGAUA